ACACCCGGUUACAUUCCGAACCCGGUAGUUAAGCCCUCCAGCGCCGAUGGUACUGCACUGGGGACGGUGUGGGAGAGUAGGUCACCGCCGGAC
Molecule: ribosomal RNA, 93 nt
Filed under: Thermocatellispora tengchongensis
Lineage: Bacteria; Bacillati; Actinomycetota; Actinomycetes; Streptosporangiales; Streptosporangiaceae
Source: RNAcentral